Molecule: ribosomal RNA, 155 nt
Filed under: Salmonella enterica
Lineage: Bacteria; Pseudomonadati; Pseudomonadota; Gammaproteobacteria; Enterobacterales; Enterobacteriaceae
Also listed under: 6 other names
Description: partial 16S ribosomal RNA
Rfam family: Bacterial small subunit ribosomal RNA
Source: RNAcentral
UUAAAUUGAAGAGUUUGAUCAUGGCUCAGAUUGAACGCUGGCGGCAGGCCUAACACAUGCAAGUCGAACGGUAACAGGAAGCAGCUUGCUGCUUCGCUGACGAGUGGCGGACGGGUGAGUAAUGUCUGGGAAACUGCCUGAUGGAGGGGGAUAAC